Molecule: ribosomal RNA, 497 nt
Filed under: uncultured bacterium
Lineage: Bacteria
Description: partial 16S ribosomal RNA
Rfam family: Bacterial small subunit ribosomal RNA
Source: RNAcentral
GAUGAACGCUGGCGGCGUGCCUAAUACAUGCAAGUCGAGCGAACAGACGAGGAGCUUGCUCCUCUGACGUUAGCGGCGGACGGGUGAGUAACACGUGGAUAACCUACCUAUAAGACUGGGAUAACUUCGGGAAACCGGAGCUAAUACCGGAUAAUAUAUUGAACCGCAUGGUUCAAUAGUGAAAGACGGUUUUGCUGUCACUUCUAGAUGGAUCCGCGCCGCAUUAGCUAGUUGGUAAGGUAACGGCUUACCAAGGCAACGAUGCGUAGCCGACCUGAGAGGGUGAUCGGCCACACUGGAACUGAGACGCGGUCCAGGCUCCUACGGGAGGCAGCAGUAGGGAAUCUUCCGCAAUGGGCGAAAGCCUGACGGAGCAACGCCGCGUGAGUGAUGAAGGUCUUCGGAUCGUAAAACUCUGUUAUUAGGGAAGAACAAAUGUGUAAGUAACUAUGCACGUCGUGACGGUACCUAAUCAGAAAGCCACGGCUAACUACGUG